AGUGAACGCUGGCGGUAGGCCUAACACAUGCAAGUCGAACGGCAGCACAGUAAGAGCUUGCUCUUACGGGUGGCGAGUGGCGGACGGGUGAGGAAUACAUCGGAAUCUACUUUUUCGUGGGGGAUAACGUAGGGAAACUUACGCUAAUACCGCAUAAGACCUACGGGUGAAAGCAGGGGAUCUUCGGACCUUGCGCGAUUGAAUGAGCCGAUGUCGGAUUAGCUAGUUGGCGGGGUAAAGGCCCACCAAGGCGACGAUCCGUAGCUGGUCUGAGAGGAUGAUCGGCCACACUGGAACUGGGACACGGUCCAGACUCCUACGGGAGGCAGCAGUGGGGAAUAUUGGACAAUGGGCGCAAGCCUGAUCCAGCCAUACCGCGUGGGUGAAGAAGGCCUUCGGGUUGUAAAGCCCUUUUGUUGGGAAAGAAAAGCAGCAGAUUAAUACCCCGCUGUUCUGACGGUACCCAAAGAAUAAGCACCGGCUAACUUCGUG
This 492-nucleotide ribosomal RNA is filed under the name uncultured bacterium. RNAcentral's name for it is "partial 16S ribosomal RNA". It matches the Rfam family "Bacterial small subunit ribosomal RNA", at positions 29 to 507 of the family's 1533-position model. The record is from RNAcentral.